This 854-nucleotide long non-coding RNA is filed under the name Olea europaea subsp. europaea. The record is from RNAcentral. Lineage: Eukaryota; Viridiplantae; Streptophyta; Magnoliopsida; Lamiales; Oleaceae.
GCAAUUCAGAUAUGCCUUUACACAAGUUUAAGGGAAAGAGAAAUAUAGAUAAAUUUAGGACACAAGGAGCUGAUUUUAAUAUUUUCCUCAUUGAAAUAGGAAAAAGGAAUCCAAAUAUAACUCAUCAUUGUUUAGUUCCCCGGUAGAAUCAAAUUUCUUAAUCCAGAUACAUGGACCAGCAAGUGCAAAAUUGAAGUCCCUUACCCACAAAAUUUACGCUCUAUCCCUCGAAAAUAAUAAAUCGAUAUAUUUACAAGACUUUUCAGCAACAAUAAGCAGUGCAAAGGAAGUACUUAUUCAAGUUUAUAUAACAAUGCAACAUAACAAUCCUUAGAAUUCCUUCCAGCACUAAUUCAGAACAGAAGAGUACAUAGAAAUGGCAUAAAUAUAAAAAAACAGUAUACACGAUGUCCAUAGCCCCGGGGGGGGGGGGGCGGGGGUUAUAAAUGAAUCAAAAUGUAACUAGGGCUUUACUGAAGUGAAAAGGAAAAUAAGGAUUUAUUGGAACGCUAGAAUUCUGCGAGGAGACAUUUUCACGAAGAGAAAUCGAAGUCAGGUGAUAGGCAAAUGACCUGCAGUUAGGACUGUUAAGUGCGGCUAGCAGGCUCAGCUCGUCCGACUAGCGUGAGAAGCAGCAAAUUUAUCGUGCCAUCUUCCAAGUUGGCUUGCGCUCUCGUCGGCUUGUGUACGAGCCGAGUGACAUACACUUUGGUUGAGUGAACCGAUUCCUGGCGAAUCAACGGCUGAACUCUUCCCAUUUAACAUCCUUAUACAUGAACUUUUCAAUCUACGGAAAUGGAGCCGGGAAAUCUAUAGGCUCCCUCCUCCGCUGACCGGUGGCGGACGGAUUAUUU